GUAGGGGUGGGAGUAAGAGUCUGAGACCGGCACACUAAGCUUCUAAAAACUUUAAACUCUUACAAAAACUGUCCAGUUUAAUACCAGAUGCCCUGCAUGCUUAUGAUGAAUUUCAUCUAAUUCCGUGGGGAAUCCAGAAGCGCAAACCAAAUGACACGAUAAACGGACUAACGCGCUCAGACCUGGAGACCUUUUACUGGGGCGGACACACCAGCUGGCGAAAUCAAGUUCCAUAAUGAAGAGGUAAAUGAGGAGGCCUCUCUAAGGCUCCAUCUUGAUGAAGGAAGCAACCACCUUGCAGAAGGAAUUGUCUCUGGCUGCUAAGAGCUACAGGUGGAGAAUCCAGAUAUCUCAGUCUUGCAUCUACAGGGACAUCCAUUUUCCCAACCAUCUGAGAGACUUUGGAAGUGGAUUUCCCUCCUGUCAACAGCCCAGAACUCCUUUGAUACC
Molecule: non-coding RNA, 450 nt
Organism: Rattus norvegicus (Norway rat)
Lineage: Eukaryota; Metazoa; Chordata; Mammalia; Rodentia; Muridae
Source: RefSeq, a predicted model, not a curated record